This 1497-nucleotide ribosomal RNA is filed under the name uncultured bacterium. RNAcentral describes it as "bacterial SSU rRNA". It matches the Rfam family "Bacterial small subunit ribosomal RNA". The record is from RNAcentral.
AGAGUUUGAUCCUGGCUCAGAUUGAACGCUGGCGGCAUGCUUUACACAUGCAAGUCGAGCGGCAGCGCGGGGGCAACCCUGGCGGCGAGCGGCGAACGGGUGAGUAAUGCAUCGGAACGUGUCCUUGAGUGGGGGGUAACCCAGCGAAAGUUGGGCUAAUACCGCAUGAACUCUGAGGAGCAAAACGGGGGACCGUAAGGCCUCGCGCUUGGGGAGCGGCCGAUGUCCGAUUAGCUAGUUGGUGGGGUAAAGGCUUGCCAAGGCGACGAUCGGUAGCUGGUCUGAGAGGAUGAUCAGCCACACUGGGACUGAGACACGGCCCAGACUCCUACGGGAGGCAGCAGUGGGGAAUUUUGGACAAUGGGGGCAACCCUGAUCCAGCCAUGCCGCGUGAGUGAAGAAGGCCUUCGGGUUGUAAAGCUCUUUCGGACGGAACGAAAUUGCCUUGGAUAACACCUGAGGUAGAUGACGGUACCGUAAGAAGAAGCACCGGCUAACUACGUGCCAGCAGCCGCGAUAAUACGUAGGGUGCGAGCGUUAAUCGGAAUUACUGGGCGUAAAGCGUGCGCAGGCGGUUUCGUAAGCUGGAGGUGAAAUCCCCGGGCUCAACCUGGGAAUGGCCUUCAGGACUGCGAGGCUGGAGUACGGCAGAGGGAGGUGGAAUUCCGCGUGUAGCAGUGAAAUGCGUAGAUAUGCGGAGGAACACCGAUGGCGAAGGCAGCCUCCUGGGCCGAUACUGACGCUCAUGCACGAAAGCGUGGGGAGCAAACAGGAUUAGAUACCCUGGUAGUCCACGCCCUAAACGAUGUCGACUAGGUGUUGGGGAAGGAGACUUUCUUGGUACCGCAGCUAACGCGUGAAGUCGACCGCCUGGGGAGUACGGCCGCAAGGUUAAAACUCAAAGGAAUUGACGGGGACCCGCACAAGCGGUGGAUGAUGUGGAUUAAUUCGAUGCAACGCGAAAAACCUUACCUACCCUUGACAUGCCCGGAACCCUGGUGAGAGCUGGGGGUGCCCGAAAGGGAGCCGGGGCACAGGUGCUGCAUGGCUGUCGUCAGCUCGUGUCGUGAUGUUGGGUUAAGUCCCGCAACGAGCGCAACCCUUGCCGCUAAUUGCCAUCAUUUAGUUGGGCACUUUAGCGGGACUGCCGGUGACAAACCGGAGGAAGGUGGGGAUGACGUCAAGUCCUCAUGGCCCUUAUGGGUAGGGCUUCACACGUCAUACAAUGGCGCAUACAAAGGGCUGCGAACCCGCGAGGGGGAGCCAAUCCCAGAAAGUGCGUCGUAGUCCGGAUUGCAGUCUGCAACUCGACUGCAUGAAGUCGGAAUCGCUAGUAAUCGCGGAUCAGCAUGUCGCGGUGAAUACGUUCCCGGGUCUUGUACACACCGCCCGUCACACCAUGGGAGUGGGGUUCACCAGAAGCAGGUAGCCUAACCGCAAGGAGGGCGCCUACCACGGUGAGCUUCAUGACUGGGGUGAAGUCGUAACAAGGUAACC